AAGUGCCUUCUCUCCUCCCGGGUCUGCGCGGACGCGGCCUCCUUACCUCAUUUGUCCUCGCCCCUCCCCGUCCCUCUACGCGUUUUGGUCCCUGUUUGGUGCUUUCUGUUUGCAGCUACGGCAGUGAAUCUGGGCAUAGGAACCAAUCAGAAACAAUCGCUUCAGCAAUCAAGACCAUUGUUCAUCAUGGAGGAACCCAUGGAUACCUCUGAGCCUCUAUCUGCAUUACCAUUCACUGGGCAGCAGUCUUUUGAGCCAAGUGGCAAAUUUGGACAGUAUCCAUCGAUGCAGAUGAACCACAUCCAGGCACUGGGGAAGUGGAGGACAUAGAACAGCUCAAUCAGUGUUUGAUCCAACACUUCCAUCUCAUUAAGACAAGUUUGAUUUUUCUUUGCUUUUUAUUUCAUGGAAUACAUGAGAAUCUCUUAACUGUUGGAGUUUCCAAGGAGGCAUACCUCAUGACUUCAGUUAAUGGAAAGAACAAAACUAAAAUGCUGUAUGGCCAAAGCCACAAAGGGAAGGAUCCACAAUUUACAUUCUUGGAGCUAUCAUCUGUACUGUACUGUUGUGAUCUACUGAUUGGCAUUGGCAUAGUAGUAGGGGUCAAGUGACAGAAUCCGUGCCAGCAGUCUCCAG
This 636-nucleotide long non-coding RNA is filed under the name Homo sapiens (human). Its description in RNAcentral is "non-protein coding lnc-ZCCHC7-2:7". The record is from RNAcentral. Lineage: Eukaryota; Metazoa; Chordata; Mammalia; Primates; Hominidae.